GACAGAGGGUGCAAACGUUGCUCGGAAUUACUGGGCGUAAAGCGCGUGUAGGCGGUCCAGCAAGUCGGGUGUGAAAGCCCUCGGCUUAACCGAGGAAGUGCAUUCGAAACUACUGGACUUGAAUACUGGAGAGGAUCGCGGAAUUCCCGGUGUAGAGGUGAAAUUCGUAGAUAUCGGGAGGAACACCAGUGGCGAAGGCGGCGAUCUGGACAGAUAUUGACGCUGAUGUGCGAAAGCGUGGGGAGCAAACAGG
Molecule: ribosomal RNA, 253 nt
Filed under: uncultured bacterium
Lineage: Bacteria
Description: partial 16S ribosomal RNA
Rfam family: Bacterial small subunit ribosomal RNA
Source: RNAcentral